Molecule: ribosomal RNA, 854 nt
Filed under: uncultured bacterium
Lineage: Bacteria
Description: SSU rRNA
Rfam family: Bacterial small subunit ribosomal RNA
Source: RNAcentral
UACGGAAGGUCCAGGCGUUAUCCGGAUUUAUUGGGUUUAAAGAGAGCGUAGGCCGACUGCUAAGAGUGUUGUGAAAAAUACCGACUCAACCGGUAUCCUGCAUCGCGAACUGGCUGCCUUGAGUGUGCGCGACGUUGGUGUAAUUCGUCGUGUAGCGGAGAAAUGCUUACAUAUGACUAAGAACUCCGAUUGCGAAGGCAGCUGACGGGAGCACAACUGACGCUGAAGCUCGAAAGUGCGGGUAUCGAACAGGAUUAGAUACCCUGGUAGUCCGCAUGGUAAACGAUGGAUGCCCGCUGUUUGUCCUGAUGGACAAGCGGCCAAGCGAAAGCGUUAAGCAUCCCACCUGGGGAGUACGCCGGCAACGGUGAAACUCAAAGGAAUUGACGGGGGCCCGCACAAGCGGAGGAACAUGUGGUUUAAUUCGAUGAUACGCGAGGAACCUUACCCGGGCUUGAAUUGCAGAGGAAGGAUUUGGAGACAAUGACGCCCUUCGGGGUCUCUGUGAAGGUGCUGCAUGGUUGUCGUCAGCUCGUGCCGUGAGGUGUCGGCUUAAGUGCCAUAACGAGCGCAACCCCUCUCUUCAGUUGCCAUCAGGUAGAGCUGGGCACUCUGGAGACACUGCCACCGUAAGGUGUGAGGAAGGCGGGGAUGACGUCAAAUCAGCACGGCCCUUACGUCCGGGGCUACACACGUGUUACAAUGGGGGGUACAGAAAGUCGGUUUCACGCAAGCGAGACCAAAUCCUCAAAGCCCUCCUCAGUUCGGACUGGGGUGUGCAACCCGACCCCACGAAGCUGGAUUCGCUAGUAAUCGCGCAUCAGCCAUGGCGCGGUGAAUACGUUUCCGGGCCU